CAAUAAAUCCCUUGUCUUCUUA
RNAcentral lists this non-coding RNA (22 nucleotides) under Drosophila ananassae. The record is from RNAcentral. RNAcentral also lists the same sequence under 7 other names. Lineage: Eukaryota; Metazoa; Arthropoda; Insecta; Diptera; Drosophilidae.